Long non-coding RNA from Cercocebus atys (sooty mangabey), 1981 nucleotides. RefSeq lists it as uncharacterized. The record is from RefSeq and is a predicted model, not a curated record. Lineage: Eukaryota; Metazoa; Chordata; Mammalia; Primates; Cercopithecidae. The transcript has 4 exons.
UCACCUUCAAAGGCUCAUUAAAACACAGGCUUGCUCUUAUGUUGACCUGCGACAGCAAAGCAGGACAAGGGGCGUGUCUGCCACGCAGGAUGAAAUGCCAUUCACAUAUCUCUGAUUUGGCUCUGUCAGAAAUGAAUAUGUAAAUGAAUUAAUAACAGAUUCAAGCAGUGAACAGAUUAGUCGAAUCCAAUCAGGUGAUGAAGCCACCUGUAUCUGGGUAUUAGAAUUUCACGGACUUCAAUCAAGUAAUACAGCUGAAAGAAGACAAAAGGAAAACAGGAAAAGGAAGCCAUCUAUGAAAGUGAGCCCACACCAGACACCAAAUCUGCCAGUGCCUUGAUCUGGGACUUCCAGUCUUCAGAACUAAGAUCCCCAUGAUUACACAUGGCAGUGGAGGAAUCCGGAGAAGUGCAGGGAGAAGAGGCUGUCCUUUGUCCUGCCAAAUCAAGGAGCUGCCCAGGCAGAUACUUCUCAUAUUCUAAUGUUAGACCUCCUGAAGCCAGUCUGCUUUGGAAUAAUUCAGAAUAAUACCUGAGUUCUACUUAGAACUUACGUUACUGAUUUAUGGCUGAACCAUGCCAAAGGAAAUAAAAAACUCAUUUCAAACAUUCUAAAAGAUGCAAGAGUUGGAUUUGGACAGGUGAAGGAGGCUUUAGUAAAACUCCCAGAUCUACAUAAAACUAAAACCAUUAGAAUACCCAAGAGGAGAAAGAAGUUGGAUAAUGUAAUUUAUAACAUCUUGCUACUUCCUCAAUUUUGUUCUUGAUUUUCUUGUAUUUUUUUUUUACCACUUCUUUAAAUAAAUGUAAGUUCUUGACUUUAUUUUACCUGCUGAUCUUACUGUCUUUGAGGCUGUAACUUUUAGCAAUGUACUCCAUUUAACAAAAUUUCAUUAAGACAGAAAUUGUUUCCUAUAGGUAUAUUCUUAAGACAUUGUAUCUCUAUUACAUUCUCAUAUUUACCAGGGAAACCAGAUCACCCUCACAGGAUGCUAACCUAAAAGAAUCAGCAGACAAGACAGGAAGAUGGUGACUCACUAGUCAGUUCAUUACAGCCUUGGAAGUCACUUACUGUUCCAGACACUGGGUUAAUUCCAGAACCUCUGGGCACCUUAAGCCUUAAACUUCCCCAAAGGGAGGAUUUAUAAUAAUCUUUAUGCCUUGAACUUCACCCAUGCCUCAAGCUGCCUUUAAGUCUUCUCCUCUUAUAAUUUCAAUAUCUAGUAGUUCCUUGAACCCAGUGGAAUCUUCUUCAUCUCCAAACUUUCCAACAUAAGAUUCCCUCUGCUUUGAACACACUUUAUCCCAUUUACUUGCCUAACUUCUUUAAGGUCUCAGCUUAAACAGUUCUUCCUUAGGGACGACUUCCCUGGCUACCCAUUAGAAAGGAUGGCAUGUUUCUGUUAUGUCUUUCAUUCAUUUUUUUUCAUUCAUUUAACUGUCUUUUCACUUGGUUACUCCUCCAACAAAUAUUAAUUCACCUACACCUACUACGUGGCAGGCACCUUGUGUGCCUUCUGUUCUAAUUGUAUUAUUGCAGGUCGCUCAAUUGUAUGCCUUCCUCAUUAGGCUCUAAGUUUUGUGGGGAGGACCUUGUCAAUCUUUCUUAGCACUGUAUCUUCAAAACAUAGCAUAUUGUUUACCAUAUAAUAGCAUAUAAUAGGUAAUUCAUAAAAUCUGUUGAAUCAAUCAAUGAAUAAACAGAUGUGAGUUUUUAGUCUUAGUUUUUAAAAUUAAAAAUGAUCAGCUUUUAAAUUUUAGUUUAUCAGUAGCACUACCAAAAGUUCAAAAGGAUUAUUUUGCACCCCAUUCUUUUUAUGGCGUGCAGAAAGCACAGGAUAAUAUUUUAUCCUCUGCUUACAUUUUGUGGUUUUAAAGGGAGUUUGAGUACUUCUCAUGACAGACAUGAGACUAUGGCACUCCAUAAAGCAUUGCUGGUAUUCUUUUUUCUUUAUUUCUUCUAAAAAAACAAACAGUAUACA